GCCGGUUUAGCUCAGCAGGUAGAGCAACUGACUUGUAAUCAGUAGGUCGUGGGUUCGAUUCCUAUAGCCGGCACCA
This 76-nucleotide transfer RNA is filed under the name Azospirillum lipoferum. RNAcentral's name for it is "tRNA-Thr". It matches the Rfam family "tRNA". From Rfam's summary of the family: Transfer RNA (tRNA) molecules are approximately 80 nucleotides in length. Lineage: Bacteria; Pseudomonadati; Pseudomonadota; Alphaproteobacteria; Rhodospirillales; Azospirillaceae. RNAcentral also lists the same sequence under 127 other names. The record is from RNAcentral.